Daktulosphaira vitifoliae (grape phylloxera) is the source of this 1805-nucleotide long non-coding RNA. RefSeq lists it as uncharacterized. The transcript is spliced from 2 exons. The record is from RefSeq and is a predicted model, not a curated record. NCBI's taxonomy places the organism in Eukaryota, Metazoa, Arthropoda, Insecta, Hemiptera, Phylloxeridae.
UACAUUGCUUUUAUUAUUAUAGUUGGCUUGUAUUUUGGUUCAUUAUUUUUUUUAAAACUAAUAUUACUGUUUAAAAUAUUAACUACGACUAUAUAUCAAUAUUUAAUUUUAAAAUAAAUGUAAAUCAAAUAAAGAUCAAAAGAAUUUCUUCCGUUAUUUUCAUUUAUUACAUUUGCCAUCUGUAUCAUGGGGCUCGUAUAUCACUAAUCGAAGUGUUUACCGUUAAAAUGAUACGGUCCCGCUUCGCAUCGUGUUACAUGGAGCCUUGUGCCACCUUUAUCAGCCGUCGGUCUACUACGUGUACCAUAUGGUAGUUUGACUGACCAGCACCGCGUGCCAAUAGCCACGGCACUAAGUCCAGCAGCAAGUGACGCACGUCCGACAACGACCCGCCGUAAAUAUACCUUGAAGUGACUUCGUGACACCGCUCUACGCGGAUCGCUCUAAAAAUACCGCUCUACACGGUUCGCUUUAAAAAGCCCGCUCGACGCAUCUAUUCACCGUCCACUACGAUGUCGACACUUCGUUUACGCUACACCUUAUUAGCUCUGUAAUAUUCUUAUUGUAGUUGUCAUUAUCUAGUUAUGUACACUUGGGAUUACUUUUUUGUUGUUGCAAUAAAUAUUUGUCACUUCCGGUGCAACUCGGUGACGCCUACCUUAUUACGUAUCAACUAAACUCUAACAAAAAUCUUCGAUGCGAAUUACGUAGAUUGCUUUAUUCAAAAAAAAUUAUUUUAAAAAAAAGGGUACGUACGCUCUGUAGUGUUUAUUUUUGUGACUCUGAAAAAAACAACCUCGUAUAACUUAAAAGAGUAGUCUCCGGGUAUUAGUUUGAGAAGAGUUGUGGCUGCAUCUUUUAGAAAAACUGACCGGUAGCCUUUUAGGGGUAUGAAGUUUAGUAUGAACCAUGAAAAUUCAACUAAUAUCAAUAUUAUACUAAUUUUGUUAAUCCAUGUUUAGACGUGGGUAUACAUGGCCUGAGUCCGAAUACUCGACAAUUAGUGUGAACUGUCAAUGGAAGUAACUGGUAGCACUAAGGAAGAAGAGCUCUCUCACUGGUUGGUUUCCAAGGAAGACUAUGUCCAAAUUCCCAACUAGGAAUACGGUUGCGGAUAGGCUUUGUAGUGGCUAUGACAGGAGUGUUAUGGAAUAUCAAAGCUAAUUCAUUCUCGUGACAUUACUAUCACAAUUGUUGACCUGUAUAUAUGUAUUUAAACAUUUAUUGGCUUAUUUAGAGGUUUAAUUAAAACAAGUUUUACAGUGAUUUUUUUUUUGGUGAACUUAUCUAUAUAACGUCAUAAUAGUAAUAAUAAUAGUUGUGAUUUAAAUUAUAAAAUAUUCAUAAUUAUAUAUAAUAUAUUGUAUAUAAAUAUUUGUUAAUCCUUAGUAAAAUAUAUGUUUCUUUAAGUUUCAUAAUGAAAACAAACAUUUAUUUACAAUAAUAUUAAAUCCGUAAAUUGCACGAAAAAUAAUUUAUUACUUGAGUACUUAAAUGCAUUUUUGAUAAUUAUCAAUUAUGAUUCGAUUCUAGUUCAGGUGAGUUAUCUUGCUAAAAUUUUAUCCAACUGCAGAAAAAGAGGUUGCACCAGGAGGAAUUAUUAUUCUAAAAUAAUAUUUUUUUUAUAUUUACUUAUUUCUUAUCUACUUAAAAAAUUUUUAGUUAUGGUGACUUAACUUACAUUGGAUUGUAGCAGCAUUGGAUGCUACCAACAGUUUGACCAUUACAUGACGAUGGACCAUCUGCUAAUGUAUAGUUUUCAUAAGGUGGACAUAUGAAGUUUGGAUUGUCCUUACAAAGUGCAA